UACGUAGGGUGCGAGCGUUGUCCGGAUUUAUUGGGCGUAAAGAGCUCGUAGGCGGUUUGGUAAGUCGGGUGUGAAAUCUCCACGCUCAACGUGGAGGGGCCACUCGAUACUGCCAUGACUCGAGUCCGGUAGAGGAGUGUGGAAUUCCCGGUGUAGCGGUGAAAUGCGCAGAUAUCGGGAGGAACACCCGUAGCGAAGGCGGCACUCUGGGCCGGAACUGACGCUGAAGAGCGAAAGCGUGGGGAGCAAACAGG
This 254-nucleotide ribosomal RNA is filed under the name uncultured bacterium. Its description in RNAcentral is "partial 16S ribosomal RNA". It matches the Rfam family "Bacterial small subunit ribosomal RNA", at positions 524 to 776 of the family's 1533-position model. The record is from RNAcentral.